CCUAAGGUAGCGAAAUUCCUUGUCGGGUAAGUUCCGACCUGCACGAAUGGCGUAAUGAUGGCCAGGCUGUCUCCACCCGAGACUCAGUGAAAUUGAACUCGCUGUGAAGAUGCAGUGUACCCGCGGCAAGACGGAAAGACCCCGUGAACCUUUACUAUAGCUUGACACUGAACAUUGAGCCUUGAUGUGUAGGAUAGGUGGGAGGCUUUGAAGUGUGGACGCCAGUCUGCAUGGAGCCGGCCUUGAAAUACCACCCUUUAAUGUUUGAUGUUCUAACGUUGGCCCCUGAUCGGGGUUGCGGACAGUGUCUGGUGGGUAGUUUGACUGGGGCGGUCUCCUCCUAAAGAGUAACGGAGGAGCACGAAGGUUGGCUAAUCCUGGUCGGACAUCAGGAGGUUAGUGCAAUGGCAUAAGCCAGCUUGACUGCGAGCGUGACGGCGCGAGCAGGUGCGAAAGCAGGUCAUAGUGAUCCGGUGGUUCUGAAUGGAAGGGCCAUCGCUCAACGGAUAAAAGGUACUCCGGGGAUAACAGGCUGAUACCGCCCAAGAGUUCAUAUCGACGGCGGUGUUUGGCACCUCGAUGUCGGCUCAUCACAUCCUGGGGCUGAAGUAGGUCCCAAGGGUAUGGCUGUUCGCCAUUUAAAGUGGUACGCGAGCUGGGUUUAGAACGUCGUGAGACAGUUCGGUCCCUAUCUGCCGUGGGCGCUGGAGAACUGAGGGGGGCUGCUCCUAGUACGAGAGGACCGGAGUGGACGCAUCACUGGUGUUCGGGUUGUCAUGCCAAUGGCACUGCCCGGUAGCUAAAUGCGGAAGAGAUAAGUGCUGAAAGCAUCUAAGCACGAAACUUGCCCCGAGAUGAGUUCUCCCUGAGACUUAGAGUCUCCUGAAGGAACGUUGAAGACGACGACGUUGAUAGGCCGGGUGUGUAAGCGCAGCGAUGCGUUGAGCUAACCGGUACUAAUGAACCGUGAGGCUUAACCUU
RNAcentral lists this ribosomal RNA (981 nucleotides) under human gut metagenome. Its description in RNAcentral is "bacterial LSU rRNA". It matches the Rfam family "Bacterial large subunit ribosomal RNA", at positions 1950 to 2925 of the family's 2925-position model. The record is from RNAcentral.